Molecule: ribosomal RNA, 447 nt
Filed under: Escherichia coli
Lineage: Bacteria; Pseudomonadati; Pseudomonadota; Gammaproteobacteria; Enterobacterales; Enterobacteriaceae
Description: partial 23S ribosomal RNA
Rfam family: Bacterial large subunit ribosomal RNA
Source: RNAcentral
GGUUAAGCGACUAAGCGUACACGGUGGAUGCCCUGGCAGUCAGAGGCGAUGAAGGACGUGCUAAUCUGCGAUAAGCGUCGGUAAGGUGAUAUGAACCGUUAUAACCGGCGAUUUCCGAAUGGGGAAACCCAGUGUGAUUCGUCACACUAUCAUUAACUGAAUCCAUAGGUUAAUGAGGCGAACCGGGGGAACUGAAACAUCUAAGUACCCCGAGGAAAAGAAAUCAACCGAGAUUCCCCCAGUAGCGGCGAGCGAACGGGGAGGAGCCCAGAGCCUGAAUCAGUGUGUGUGUUAGUGGAAGCGUUUGGAAAGGCGCGCGAUACAGGGUGACAGCCCCGUACACAAAAAUGCACAUGCUGUGAGCUCGAUGAGUAGGGCGGGACACGUGGUAUCCUGUCUGAAUAUGGGGGGACCAUCCUCCAAGGCUAAAUACUCCUGACUGACCGA